Molecule: ribosomal RNA, 426 nt
Filed under: Triticum aestivum (bread wheat)
Lineage: Eukaryota; Viridiplantae; Streptophyta; Magnoliopsida; Poales; Poaceae
Description: partial small subunit ribosomal RNA
Source: RNAcentral
AUGUCGAAACUGGUCUGCAGGAAUACUAGAGCUCUCACAGGCGCAACCGUGACACGGGCUCAUCUUCGGGUUCGCCCGCACAGAAGCGUAAGAUAUGGAUCCCGAACAUCACGUACCGUCCAAAUGCAUCUGCCCCAAGGCAGACCUAUGCUGCACCUCGUCUGCCUCCACCACCAUCUAGGCAGACAAGACUUCCAGCUCCACCAUCCCAAGCUCCGGUUCCCACUCCCAAUAAUGGUCUGUGCUACAAGUGUGGACAACCCGGUCACCGUGCCAGGGACUACCAUCAGAAUCAGAAUCAACUUGCCCUUCCAGCAACGGGCCGUGGUAACAACCAGCCCCGCAGCAACAAUGCUAAGCCUUAUGGUCGUGCUCAUGCCAACCACGUUGAUCUCAACGAAGCUCAAGACCAGCCUGCUACUGUGA